RNAcentral lists this small nucleolar RNA (73 nucleotides) under Terrapene triunguis (Three-toed box turtle). Its description in RNAcentral is "Terrapene carolina triunguis (Three-toed box turtle) Small nucleolar RNA Z40 (ENSTMTG00000020366.1)". It matches the Rfam family "Small nucleolar RNA Z40". Rfam says of the family: Z40 is a member of the C/D class of snoRNA which contain the C (UGAUGA) and D (CUGA) box motifs. Most of the members of the box C/D family function in directing site-specific 2'-O-methylation of substrate RNAs. Lineage: Eukaryota; Metazoa; Chordata; Testudines; Emydidae. The record is from Rfam by way of RNAcentral.
AAAUGUUAUGAUGAUUGGCAAAAUGUUCAACUGCUCUGAAGAAAGUGAAUGAUGACAGCCUUUCUGAACACUU